CUGGCCUCAAAUCAGGUAGGGCUACCCGCUGAACUUAAGGCAUAUCAAUAAGCGGAGGAAAAGAAACUAACUAGGAUUCCCUUAGUAACGGCGAGUGAACCGGGAUGAGCUCAAAUUUGAAAUCUGGCGUCUUUCAGGCGUCCGAGUUGUAAUCUAUAGAGGCGUUUUCCGCGCCGGACCGCGUCCAAGUCUCUUGGAAUAGAGUAUCAAAGAGGGUGACAAUCCCGUACUUGACGCGACAACCGGUGCUCUGUGAUACGCUCUCAAUGAGUCGAGUUGUUUGGGAAUGCAGCUCUAAAUGGGUGGUAAAUUCCAUCUAAGGCUAAAUAUUGGCGAGAGACCGAUAGCGAACAAGUACCGUGAGGGAAAGAUGAAAAGCACUUUGGAAAGAGAGUUAAACAGCACGUGAAAUUGUUAAAAGGGAAACGAUUGAAGUCAGUCGUGUGGGAAGUAUUCAGCCGUCUCUGGCGGUGUAUUUGCUUCUCACGGGUCAACAUCAGUUUGAUCCGGUAGAAAAAGGCGGGAAGAAGGUGGCACCCUCGGGUGUGUUAUAGCUUCCUGUCAUAUGUGCCGGACCAGACUGAGGAACGCAGCUUGCAGCAAUGCCGGGGUUCGCCCACGUACAAGCUUAGGA
RNAcentral lists this ribosomal RNA (634 nucleotides) under Vishniacozyma carnescens. RNAcentral's name for it is "eukaryotic LSU rRNA". It matches the Rfam family "Eukaryotic large subunit ribosomal RNA", at positions 1 to 618 of the family's 3401-position model. Lineage: Eukaryota; Fungi; Basidiomycota; Tremellomycetes; Tremellales; Bulleribasidiaceae. The record is from RNAcentral.